RNAcentral lists this ribosomal RNA (68 nucleotides) under Eutreptiella gymnastica. Its description in RNAcentral is "partial 5.8S ribosomal RNA". The record is from RNAcentral. Lineage: Eukaryota; Euglenozoa; Euglenophyceae; Eutreptiales; Eutreptiaceae.
ACGGCAGACGCCUCGGCCCCCACGACGAUCAAGGCCGCGGUGUACUUCGACACCUCCUACGAGCCGCC